UUAACUAUUGUAUAGUACUCAGACGGCAAAAAUAACAGAGAGUUUUGAAUCCUCUGGCAGACGCUGACCAGCCGGAGCCGGCGGCCCGAGGGCGGGCCUGCCAAAGCAACAAAGGUAGUGUAAACACAGGGUGGGAGAUCUACCCCGAAGGGCACGUUCUCAUUAAUGAUCCUUCCGCAGGUUCACCUACGGAAA
RNAcentral lists this unclassified non-coding RNA (195 nucleotides) under uncultured fungus. Its description in RNAcentral is "sequence contains ITS1". Lineage: Eukaryota; Fungi. The record is from RNAcentral.